UACGAAGGGGGCUAGCGUUGUUCGGAAUUACUGGGCGUAAAGCGCGCGUAGGCUGUGCCGCAAGUCAGGGGUGAAAUCCCAGAGCUCAACUCUGGAACUGCCUUUGAAACUGCGGUGCUGGAAUCUCAGAGGGGGUAGCGGAAUUCCAAAUGUAGGGGUGAAAUCCGUAGAUAUUUGGAGGAAUACCGAUGGCGAAGGCAGCCCCCUGGGAUAACACUGACGCUCAUGCACGAAAGCGUGGGGAGCAAACAGG
This 253-nucleotide ribosomal RNA is filed under the name uncultured bacterium. RNAcentral describes it as "partial 16S ribosomal RNA". It matches the Rfam family "Bacterial small subunit ribosomal RNA", at positions 524 to 776 of the family's 1533-position model. The record is from RNAcentral.